RNAcentral lists this RNase P RNA (368 nucleotides) under Terrapene triunguis (Three-toed box turtle). Its description in RNAcentral is "Terrapene carolina triunguis (Three-toed box turtle) Nuclear RNase P (ENSTMTG00000000258.1)". The stretch from base 9 to 338 matches the Rfam family "Nuclear RNase P". Rfam says of the family: Ribonuclease P (RNase P) is a ubiquitous endoribonuclease, found in archaea, bacteria and eukarya as well as chloroplasts and mitochondria. Lineage: Eukaryota; Metazoa; Chordata; Testudines; Emydidae. The record is from RNAcentral.
GAAGGGGAGUUAUACUCAUAACUCUCUCACAGAGUUUAUAGGCUGAGUGCCUCUGUCACUUUUCCCUUCACACCUGGAGGAAAGUCUGAGUCAAGAGCCAUCUGCUGCCUUUGCAUGGCAUCAACAGACACAGGUGAGCAAGUUCUCAGCCAAAUGGGUCUUAUCUGGGAGCCUUGCCAGAUGGAAGAAACAGGCAGAAUCAAGCAUCAGGGUCAGAAAAACGUGUAUUUUUGUGCCAGCUAAUACUGAGGAGGCAUCUCCCACAGGGCUUGAAAUGAGACUCAUGGCUGCCAUUGCUACAUAAGCUUCUAUGGCAAGAGAGAAGAAUAUACCCUAACUGUCUGGUCUAAAAAAAAAAUCCCAUGUUC